This 2121-nucleotide long non-coding RNA is filed under the name Ornithorhynchus anatinus (platypus). Its description in RNAcentral is "lncRNA (ENSOANG00000050740.1)". Lineage: Eukaryota; Metazoa; Chordata; Mammalia; Monotremata; Ornithorhynchidae. The record is from RNAcentral.
GUGAGGAGGGAGGGCAAUCCAGGACAACGGUAGGACGUGGGCCAGGGGUCAGCAGCAGGUCAGGCACAAACAAGGGACCGGAGAGGAGUGGAGUGUACAGGAGAUAACGGGGGACAAUGAGGAGGUGAGCGGCAGAGGAGCGGAACCUCUGGGGAAGGCUGUAGAAGGAGAGAAGGGAGGUAAGGUAGGGGUAAGGUGAUGGAGAGCUUUGAAGCCAAGAGUGAGGAGUUUUUGUUUCAUGCGAAGGUUGAUAGGUAACCGCUGGAGGUUUUUGAGGAGGGGAGUGACAUGCCCAGAGCCUUUCUGACGGAAGAUGAUCCAGGCAGUGGAAUGAAGUAUAGACUGGAGCGGGGAGAGACAGGAGGAUGGGAGAUCAGAGGGGAGGCUGACACAAUAAUCCAGUAGGGAUAUUAUGAGAGCUUGUACCACCAAGGUAGCUGUUCGGAUGAGGCAUAGUUCAUUUCAUUUACAUGGCAUGUGUUUUUGUUUUUUUUAAGUAUAACAUUCAUUGAGGAUCUGUAUGCAUCUGACUGUCAGUAUGGAUGAAUCACUCAGGGAUAUAAGUCAGCUAUUUAAAGCUGCAAGGAUGAAUGAUUUUUUCACUAUGCAAGCACUACUGCAAAAAGGAGAUAUUGAUUCUUUUGUGAGAGGUAGUGUAAAGCCAUCCUUUUAUAAAUCCCCUCUCAGAAGAACAUUUAAAUGCUUAUUUCCUCUCUACUUGAUGAAAUCACUGCCCAACAUAAAACCUCCACCGAUUGAAUGUUGCCUUUAAUUUUGCUGGCCUUUUUUUGCAGAAAUAAUGUGAAAGGAAACACAGUUUUGAAGGUGACUGCUAACAAGAUUUCUCCAAUACCUGCUGUUAAUUUCAUUCUUAUUCAUAGGGGGAUGUGGAGAAACUAUUCUACAUGCAGCCUUACUUAGUGGCAGUAAAGAAGUUGUUGAAGUUAUUUUGGAUGAGGUGCCCUCUUUGAUUAAUGAGCCAGUGACAUCCAACACAUAUAGAGGUAUAGUAUCAAAAUCCUUUAAAAGAUGUUUAAUUUUUCAUAUUUUAAUACCAUUUUAAUAUCUUACCCUACUUCCUCUCUCUUCUACGGCACUCCACAAGGUAAACUUGAAUUUGUAUCUUUUAUUCACCCCACCCUCAGCCCCAUGGCACCUUUGUUUGGACUGUGAGCCUGUUGGGCAGAGAUUGUCUCUAUCUGUUGCCGAAUGGUACAUUCCAAGCGCUUAGUAUAGUGGUCUCCACAUAGUAAGCGCUCAAUAAAUGCGAUUGAAUGAAUGAGUGACUAUCUGUAACUUAUUUUAGUGUCUGUUUCCCCCUCUGGGCUGAAAGCUCCUUGUGGGCAGAGAACAUGUCUGUCUUCCCACUCUGUUUUAUUGUGCUCUCCCAAGCACUUAGUACACAGCUCUACACACAGUAAGUGCUCAAUAAAUAUGAUGGAUUACUCAUGAAAUUCAGAUUCCCUGUUUUGAUUAUUGCAGAUAGAAGGGAAAGUGGAGUGUUUAAAAUUAAUAAACAUGUAGAUAAGUGGCAGAGCCUCCACCUUCUAGACUGUGAGCCCAUUGUUGGGCAGGGAUUGUCUCUAUUUGUUGCUGAAUUGUAUUUUCCUAAUGCUUAGUACAGAGCUCUGCACAUUGUAAGUGCUCAAUAAAUAUGAUUGAAUGAAUGAAUGUUAGUUUUAAUCAUGGUAUUUAGUAAGUGCUUACUACUUGCUAAGCCCUGUGCUAAAUGAUGGGGAGUAGAUAGAGCGUCAUCAGAUAGGACACAGUUCUUGCCCCACAUAACUAAUAAUUAUGGUAUUUGUUAAAUGCUUACUAUGUGCCAGACACUCAGACCUGAUGGUUGCUAUCUUCCAAAAUACUUCCAGUCCAGAUUGAGCCUCCUGAUUGGACCAAUACUCCCUGUGGAUUCUGAGGCCUUGUGGAUUACAGGAGGAGCAUUCAAAGGCUUAGAAGACCUAGCAGAUACUAGUCUGGUUUGAAUUCCAGAAGCUGAGGCAAAAGUCCAAGGAUUGCCUCUCUGCCCCCUUCUUCACCUCCCCUCAGCUAAGCCCCCUUUCCCCCCUUUGCCUCUUCUCCUCCCCCUCUCCCUUCCCCUCCCCUCAGCACUGUGCUCAUUUG